This 253-nucleotide ribosomal RNA is filed under the name uncultured bacterium. Its description in RNAcentral is "partial 16S ribosomal RNA". It matches the Rfam family "Bacterial small subunit ribosomal RNA", at positions 524 to 776 of the family's 1533-position model. The record is from RNAcentral.
UACAGAGGGUGCAAGCGUUAAUCGGAAUUACUGGGCGUAAAGCGCACGUAGGCGGCUUGGUAUGUCGGGUGUGAAAUCCCCGGGCUCAACCUGGGAACUGCAUCCGAAACUGCCUUGCUGGAGUAUGGGAGAGGGAAGCGGAAUUUCCGGUGUAGCGGUGAAAUGCGUAGAUAUCGGAAGGAACAUCAGUGGCGAAGGCGGCUUCCUGGACCAAUACUGACGAUCAGGUGCGAAAGAGUGGGGAGCAAACAGG